GACGAACGCUGGCGGCGUGCUUAACACAUGCAAGUCGAGCGGAAAGGCCCUUUCGGGGGUACUCGAGCGGCGAACGGGUGAGUAACACGUGAGUAAUCUGCCCUUGGCUUUGGGAUAACCACCGGAAACGGUGGCUAAUACCGGAUACGACCACUCCCGGCAUCGGGUGGUGGUGGAAAGUUUUUUCGGCCAGGGAUGUGCUCGCGGCCUAUCAGCUUGUUGGUGGGGUAAUGGCCUACCAAGGCUUCGACGGGUAGCCGGCCUGAGAGGGUGACCGGCCACACUGGGACUGAGACACGGCCCAGACUCCUACGGGAGGCAGCAGUGGGGAAUAUUGGACAAUGGGCGGAAGCCUGAUCCAGCAACGCCGCGUGAGGGAUGACGGCCUUCGGGUUGUAAACCUCUUUCAGUACCGACGAAGCGCCGAUGAUGGCGGUGACGGUAGGUACAGAAGAAGCACCGGCCAACUACGUGCCAGCAGCCGCCGUAA
RNAcentral lists this ribosomal RNA (490 nucleotides) under uncultured bacterium. Its description in RNAcentral is "partial 16S ribosomal RNA". It matches the Rfam family "Bacterial small subunit ribosomal RNA", at positions 28 to 523 of the family's 1533-position model. The record is from RNAcentral.